This 312-nucleotide long non-coding RNA is filed under the name Elaeis guineensis (African oil palm). Its description in RNAcentral is "long non-coding RNA (EGUI_LNC056269)". The record is from RNAcentral. Lineage: Eukaryota; Viridiplantae; Streptophyta; Magnoliopsida; Arecales; Arecaceae.
UUGACAGCGAUGUCCGUAACUGCCUGGUAGUGGGCCGUUCGGAGCCACGCGGAGUUUGUUAUGGAGAGCAGUGAUGUCAGUGGGCCAUUCGGAGCCAUGUGGAGUCUGUUAUGGAGAGUGGAGUGGUGUCCGUUUUUGCGAUUUGUCAGAGAGUUCGGGUCGGAAGGCUAAAGCUCGGUUGGGGCAUCUGGUGGAACGGAAUAGCUCUCUGCCUCAGCAAUCUGAGAGGAGCUCAAAUAUUUUUGAGGUUGCUGAUGGGUUAACUAUUGUUGGGUGCUGUUGGUGUUGCAAAUGGAAGUCAUCUACUGUAGA